RNAcentral lists this long non-coding RNA (309 nucleotides) under Medicago truncatula (barrel medic). RNAcentral's name for it is "lncRNA gene25803". The record is from RNAcentral. Lineage: Eukaryota; Viridiplantae; Streptophyta; Magnoliopsida; Fabales; Fabaceae.
CUCUAGGAGGCGUCGGUAACCUUGCUCGGGAGCAAUUAGAUGAGGUUGGUAUCCAUCUGCCUCAGAAAUAACGUUUCUCACAUUUUGCAGCGAUAAAUGACGGUCCAGUGGAAUCUUUCUCAAUGCAGCAGGAAGCUGAUAAUCGAAAACUAUAUAAAUUUUGUCACCACCUGGUCGCCUAGGGAGGGGGAACAACACAGUAAAGGCAGAAAGGUCAAGGCUUUUCCUUCCCACAAAUAUUAAGAAAAAAAGGUUGUAUUUUCAAGAGUUUUUAAAAGAAUCAAGUAUCAACUCAUGCCCCAAUUUAAA